AUAAAUCUUCUUGAAUGUUAUCCAAAGAAAAACUUAUGGCUUUGAGCACAAUUCUUGCUUUCUAGUCAUUCUAAAGCCUUCCCUCUUUUACCAGCCCCAACCAGAAAGAAAUGUUGUCAAUUCAACUUUUGCUCUACAAAAUAUUUCCAGCUUUCUGGAAUCCAAGCAGACAGUGUUGUCAAAGGAUGCCUGUGAUGGGCAUAUUUCAGUGAACUGCUUGUUACUCUGAGCAUCCAAAGCAAUAGACCCCUUCUACUUAAAUCUGGCUUUCGCAAGAAACGUAUUCAGUGUGGCUAACUCAACAUAAUUAUACUGAAAAAAAAGCUUUCAGAAGACUCAGGGCCAUGGCUUCCUUUAUGGAGUCUACCCAUCUGGAAUGUGGUCUUCCUCUUUUCCUACUACCAUUACAUACGAGUGGAUAAAAUGACAGCAGAAAGGAAGCGACAAAACUGCUCCAUCCUCUCUUCAUAUUCAAGAGUUGUUAAGCAUGUCAUUUCUGUUUCCAGAAUCUUGCUCACAAAAUCUCUGGACUGUAAAUGGGAUACCAAACGGAUAGAUCAGUCAACUAGAACUUGAAUUGAUUAAUCCAUCUCCGCAGAUUUAAGUGGAAAGUCUAAACAUUAACAGCAGCUUUUGUUUUUGAGGCUAUUUUGAUUCUGGUGUGUUACUCUCAAAGAGAAUUUCAAAAGAAAAUAUCAAAGAUGACCUUGCCUAUAAACAAUGAGUCAUACUUCUUGUUUAUUAAAGCCUGAGUUUUCAACUUGUUUCCAUCAGUAUUUCAUAAAGUCCAGCCGUUGAGAUUUUAUUCAGAUGUUGUUUAUUUGAAAAUGUUAGUUGGUGGGUAGAUUUAUUAGUCCACUGAAAUGCUUUAAUCAGUUGACAGGUUCAAAUGUUCUAUGUAAAUGUAAAAAUGGCAAUUUGCAUUUCAAGGACACAUAUAUAAAAAAAAUAAUUCACAAAUC
Molecule: long non-coding RNA, 962 nt
Organism: Anolis carolinensis (green anole)
Lineage: Eukaryota; Metazoa; Chordata; Lepidosauria; Squamata; Anolidae
Exons: 4
Source: RefSeq, a predicted model, not a curated record